Molecule: ribosomal RNA, 771 nt
Filed under: uncultured Actinomycetes bacterium
Lineage: Bacteria; Bacillati; Actinomycetota; Actinomycetes
Description: bacterial SSU rRNA
Rfam family: Bacterial small subunit ribosomal RNA
Source: RNAcentral
GCUGGCGGCGUGCUUAACACAUGCAAGUCGAACGAUCCCGGGACUUCGGUCCCAAUGGGAUAGUGGCGAACGGGUGGGUAUCACGUGAGAAACCUACCCCGAAGAUGGGAAUAGCCCAAGGAAACCUGGAUUAAUACCCAAUAAUCUGUAAUCACCGCCUGGUGAACUCAGCAAACGCUCCGGCGCUUCGGGAGGGUCUCGCGGCCUAUCAGCUAGUUGGUGAGGUAAUGGCUCACCAAGGCAUCGACGGGUAGCUGGUCUGAGAGGACGAUCAGCCACACUGGGACUGAGACACGGCCCAGACUCCUACGGGAGGCAGCAGUGGGGAAUCUUGCGCAAUGGGCGAAAGCCUGACGCAGCAACGCCGCGUGGGGGAUGAAGGCUCUCGGGUCGUAAACCCCUUUCAGCAGGGACGAAAAUGACGGUACCUGCAGAAGAAGCGCCGGCCAACUACGUGCCAGCAGCCGCGGUAAUACGUAGGGCGCAAGCGUUGUCCGGAUUUAUUGGGCGUAAAGAGCUCGUAGGCGGUUUGGUAAGUCGGGUGUGAAAACUCAGGGCUCAACCCUGAGACGCCACUCGAUACUGCCAUGACUAGAGUCCGGUAGAGGAGUGUGGAAUUCCUAGUGUAGCGGUGAAAUGCGCAGAUAUUAGGAGGAACACCAACAGCGAAGGCAGCACUCUGGGCCGGUACUGACGCUGAGGAGCGAAAGCGUGGGGAGCGAACAGGAUUAGAUACCCUGGUAGUCCACGCCGUAAACGUUGGGCACUAGG